Molecule: ribosomal RNA, 498 nt
Filed under: uncultured bacterium
Lineage: Bacteria
Description: partial 16S ribosomal RNA
Rfam family: Bacterial small subunit ribosomal RNA
Source: RNAcentral
AUUGAACGCUGGCGGCAUGCCUUACACAUGCAAGUCGAACGGUAACAGGUCUUCGGAUGCUGACGAGUGGCGAACGGGUGAGUAAUACAUCGGAACGUGCCUAGUAGUGGGGGAUAACUACUCGAAAGAGUGGCUAAUACCACAUGAGAUCUACGGAUGAAAGCAGGGGAUCGCAAGACCUUGUGCUACUAGAGCGGCCGAUGGCAGAUUAGGUGGUUGGUGGGAUAAAAGCUUACCAAGCCGACGAUCUGUAGCUGGUCUGAGAGGACGAUCAGCCACACUGGGACUGAGACACGGCCCAGACUCCUACGGGAGGCAGCAGUGGGGAAUUUUGGACAAUGGGCGCAAGCCUGAUCCAGCAAUGCCGCGUGCAGGAUGAAGGCCUUCGGGUUGUAAACUGCUUUUGUACGGAACGAAAAGCCCUGGGUUAAUACCCUGGGGUCAUGACGGUACCGUAAGAAUAAGCACCGGCUAACUACGUGCCAGCCGCCGCCGUAA